CCUACGGGAGGCAGCAGUGGGGAAUAUUGGACAAUGGGCGCAAGCCUGAUCCAGCCAUACCGCGUGGGUGAAGAAGGCCUUCGGGUUGUAAAGCCCUUUUGUUGGGAAAGAAAUCCAGCCGGCUAAUACCUGGUUGGGAUGACGGUACCCAAAGAAUAAGCACCGGCUAACUUCGCGCCAGCAGCCGCGGUAAUACGAAGGGUGCAAGCGUUACUCGGAAUUACUGGGCGUAAAGCGUGCGUAGGUGGUUAUUUAAGUCCGUUGUGAAAGCCCUGGGCUCAACCUGGGAACUGCAGUGGAUACUGGAUGACUAGAAUGUGGUAGAGGGUAGCGGAACUCCUGGUGUAGCAGUGAAAUGCGUAGAGAUCAGGAGGAACAUCCAUGGCGAAGGCAGCUACCUGGACCAACAUUGACACUGAGGCACGAAAGCGUGGGGAGCAAACAGGAUUAGAUACCCUGGUAGUCCACGCCCUAAACGAUGCGAACUGGAUGUUGGGUGCAAUUUGGCACGCAGUAUCGAAGCUAACGCGUUAAGUUCGCCGCCUGGGGAGUACGGUCGCAAGACUGAAACUCAAAGGAAUUGACGGGGGCCCGCACAAGCGGUGGAGUAUGUGGUUUAAUUCGAUGCAACGCGAAGAACCUUAC
This 645-nucleotide ribosomal RNA is filed under the name uncultured Stenotrophomonas sp. RNAcentral's name for it is "bacterial SSU rRNA". It matches the Rfam family "Bacterial small subunit ribosomal RNA", at positions 338 to 974 of the family's 1533-position model. Lineage: Bacteria; Pseudomonadati; Pseudomonadota; Gammaproteobacteria; Lysobacterales; Lysobacteraceae. The record is from RNAcentral.